AGAGUUUGAUCAUGGCUCAGGAUAAACGCUGGCGGCGUGCCUUAUGCAUGCAAGUCGAACGAGACCAAGGCUUCGGCCUGAAGUCUAGUGGCGGACGGGUGAGUAACACGUACGUGACCUGCCUUCGAGCGGGGGAUAACGUCCCGAAAGGGACGCUAAUACCGCAUAACAUCCUGCCUUUGAAGAGGCGGAGAUCAAAGCUGGGGAUCGUAAGACCCGGCACUUGAAGAGGGGCCCGCGUCUGAUUAGCUAGUUGGUGAGGUAACGGCUCACCAAGGCAACGAUCAGUAUCCGGCCUGAGAGGGCGGACGGACACACUGGGACUGAGACACGGCCCAGACUCCUACGGGAGGCAGCAGUGGGGAAUUGUUCGCAAUGGGCGCAAGCCUGACGACGCAACGCCGCGUGGAGGAUGAAGAUUUUCGGAUCGUAAACUCCUGUCGAAUGGGACGAAAAGAUUGCGGGUUAACGGCCCGCAGUCCUGACGGUACUUAAAGAGCCC
RNAcentral lists this ribosomal RNA (502 nucleotides) under uncultured Acidobacteriaceae bacterium. RNAcentral's name for it is "bacterial SSU rRNA". It matches the Rfam family "Bacterial small subunit ribosomal RNA", at positions 8 to 493 of the family's 1533-position model. Lineage: Bacteria; Pseudomonadati; Acidobacteriota; Terriglobia; Terriglobales; Acidobacteriaceae. The record is from RNAcentral.